UACGAAGGGGGCGAGCGUUGUUCGGAAUUACUGGGCGUAAAGGGCGCGUAGGCGGCGCACCAAGUCAGGCGUGAAAGCCCCGGGCUCAACCCGGGAACGGCGCUUGGGACUGGUGCGCUCGAGUUCGGGAGAGGAUGGCGGAAUUCCCAGUGUAGAGGUGAAAUUCGUAGAUAUUGGGAAGAACACCGACGGCGCAGGCAGCCAUCUGGACCGACACUGACGCUGAGGCGCGACAGCGUGGGGAGCAAACAGG
Molecule: ribosomal RNA, 253 nt
Filed under: uncultured bacterium
Lineage: Bacteria
Description: partial 16S ribosomal RNA
Rfam family: Bacterial small subunit ribosomal RNA
Source: RNAcentral